UUGCUCCCUGAGGUUAGCGGCGGACGGGUGAGUAACACGUGGGUAACCUGCCUGUAAGAUUGGGAUAACUCCGGGAAACCGGAGCUAAUACCGGAUAACAUUUUGAACCGCAUGGUUCAAAAUUGAAAGACGGCUUUUGCUUGUCACUUACAAAGGGACCCGCGGCGCAUUACCUAGUUGGGGAGGUAACGGUUCACCAAGGCAACAAUGCGUAGCCAACCUGAAAGGGGGAUCGGCCACACGGGAACUGAAACACGGCCCAAACUCCUACGGAAGGCAGCAGAAGGAAAUCUUCCGCAUGGAACAAAAUUCUGACGAAGCAACGCCCCGGGAACAAUAAAGGCCUUCGGGUCGUAAAGUUCUGUUGUUAGGGAAAAACAAUUACCAAAUAACCUGCUGGUACUUUGACGGUACCUAACCAAAAGGCCACGGUUAACUCCUUGCCACCAGCCGCGGUAUUACUUAGGUGGAAAGCGUGGUCCGGAUUUAUUGGCCGUAACGCGCGCGCAGGCGGUUUCUUAGUCCGAUGUGAAGCAACGCUCACCGGUGGAGGUUCAUUGAAACUGGGGACUGGAUGCGAAGAGAAACUGAAUUCCACU
Molecule: ribosomal RNA, 599 nt
Filed under: Metabacillus halosaccharovorans
Lineage: Bacteria; Bacillati; Bacillota; Bacilli; Caryophanales; Bacillaceae
Description: bacterial SSU rRNA
Rfam family: Bacterial small subunit ribosomal RNA
Source: RNAcentral